UCUCACCGCGUCUCUGGGUCACCCCAAGAUGUCUGCGUGGCCGGGUAUGGGUGCUCUGGAAGGAAUGAGAUCCUGCAGCUGCUGCCACCACCAACACUGCAAGCAAAGGAGAAUCAGGGUCUGUGUCCCCAGAGAGAUUUCAAGGUGGAAUGUGGAGGGUUCUCAAAACGCCCUGUUUACAACCUGAAACACGUGCCAGGCACCAGGAUCUGUUCCCAUUCAGUUCUUUCCAAGAAGGUCCUGGAAGAGGCUCAGUUUAACACUCCUCGAGUCCAGGGUUGUGACC
Non-coding RNA from Meleagris gallopavo (turkey), 286 nucleotides. Lineage: Eukaryota; Metazoa; Chordata; Aves; Galliformes; Phasianidae. The record is from RefSeq and is a predicted model, not a curated record.